This 571-nucleotide long non-coding RNA is filed under the name Macaca mulatta (Rhesus monkey). RNAcentral's name for it is "lncRNA (ENSMMUG00000056899.1)". Lineage: Eukaryota; Metazoa; Chordata; Mammalia; Primates; Cercopithecidae. The record is from RNAcentral.
AUGUAUGAAAUUCUUAGUACAGUGCCUGGAGUGAUUGCUGGUUUGCUGCUACUUGAACUGGCAUGCUACAUAUGUCUCCUGGACAUACUUUCAGAUCCAGGACUGUUUCAUAUGAACAUGGAAGAACAGAUCCCCAGUCAUCUCAGGACUCCUCAGAAAUGGUUAUUCUGAUUGUGGGACCAGAGUAAAUUCUCCAAGGCUGAGGCCUCAGACCCACCUCUGCAACAGGAGUAACCUUUCCUUCUUUACUCUGUCUUAUAGAACUUUGUACGGAAAUCAACUAUGUAACUUAUCAUUGAGAGGCUCCAAAAAGUAGAGAAUAAAAGUAAGAUUUAGAAACAGAGAAUAAUGUGUGCAAAUCAAACUCUGCCACUCACAGAAUAAUGCCAUUUAAAGGCAUAAUUUGAUCAUGCUAAAACAACCUAUAAAAUAACAAAGUUACAGAUAAGCCAACAAAGGAGAUAAAAAUGAAUAAUAAAAUCCAAUUAGUUAUUAAUAAAAGGAAGGAAGAAAGACGUAAAAUGAAACAAAGAGGAGAAGGAUUAAAUAGGAAAAUAACAAUACGAUAAUU